AACGCACCUUGCGCUCCUUGGUAUUCCGAGGAGCAUGCCUGUUUGAGUGUCAUUAAAUUCUCAACCUCACCAACUUUGUUGUGUGCAGGCUUGGAUGUGGGGGUUGCAGGUCCACUCUCGUGGUCUGCUCCUCUGAAAUGUAUUAGUGGGUUGUGCCCCUAAUCUAUUGGUGUGAUAAUUAUCUACGCCGUGGAUUGGGUUGGUUACUUGAAGACCUGCUUCUAACCGUCCCUUGGACAACUUUGACAAUUUUGACCUCAAAUCAGGCAAGACUACCCGCUGAACUUAA
This 289-nucleotide unclassified non-coding RNA is filed under the name uncultured Coprinopsis. Its description in RNAcentral is "sequence contains ITS2". The stretch from base 1 to 52 matches the Rfam family "5.8S ribosomal RNA", at positions 103 to 154 of the family's 154-position model. The record is from RNAcentral. Lineage: Eukaryota; Fungi; Basidiomycota; Agaricomycetes; Agaricales; Psathyrellaceae.